This 467-nucleotide long non-coding RNA is filed under the name Pan troglodytes (chimpanzee). RNAcentral describes it as "long non-coding RNA NONPTRT002785". The record is from RNAcentral. Lineage: Eukaryota; Metazoa; Chordata; Mammalia; Primates; Hominidae.
GCGGGAGUCAAGUGGUGGUUCAGUGGGGACGGAAUGAUUAACAAAGGCGUCCGAAGAAAUCGUUGUUGGAAGGUGGCCAAAGUGGAAAGAGAGGUUGCUUUGGCCCUGCAAGUAAGAAGAGAGAAGGAAUAGCCUGAAGGAGUAACACUAAAUUUAAAAUGACACUUUUUUACCAACCAGCGAAAGCAGAUGUUCAAAGGGGAUAUUGGCCAGAGUCUGUCACACUAAGAUGAGAAAUAUCCUUUCUUCCUGAAGGUGUCUGAUGUGUAAAAAUACUGAUAUACUUUGUGCUGUUUCCUCCCUUCCCUUUUGCACAUUAUUCUGAAACAACAUUAACUAGUUACUUUGCGUCAUUGAAGGUAUGCACUUCCCCUCUACGUUAGGAGGGAAUAAAAUUAAAAAUAGAUCCUUAUAGCAAAGAAAGGCAGAUAGAAUGAUUAAAAAUGACCAAAACAUGUUAGAAACAG